RNAcentral lists this ribosomal RNA (508 nucleotides) under uncultured bacterium. RNAcentral describes it as "partial 16S ribosomal RNA". It matches the Rfam family "Bacterial small subunit ribosomal RNA", at positions 28 to 507 of the family's 1533-position model. The record is from RNAcentral.
GACGAACGCUGGCGGCGUGCCUAAUACAUGCAAGUCGAGCGCAGGAAGUCAUCCGAACCCUUCGGGGGGACGUUGACGGAAUGAGCGGCGGACGGGUGAGUAACACGUAAAGAACCUGCCCUCAGGUCUGGGAUAACCACGAGAAAUCGGGGCUAAUACCGGAUGGGUCAUCGGACCGCAUGGUCCGAGGAUGAAAGGCGCUCCGGCGUCGCCUGGGGAUGGCUUUGCGGUGCAUUAGCUAGUUGGUGGGGUAAUGGCCCACCAAGGCGACGAUGCAUAGCCGACCUGAGAGGGUGAUCGGCCACACUGGGACUGAGACAUGGCCCAGACUCCUACGGGAGGCAGCAGUAGGGAAUCUUCCACAAUGGACGAAAGUCUGAUGGAGCAACGCCGCGUGAACGAUGAAGGCCCUCGGGUCGUAAAGUUCUGUUGUAAGGGAAGAACAAGUGCCGCAGGCAAUGGCGGCACCUUGACGGUACCUUGCGAGAAAGCCACGGCUAACUACGUG